RNAcentral lists this ribosomal RNA (254 nucleotides) under uncultured bacterium. RNAcentral describes it as "partial 16S ribosomal RNA". It matches the Rfam family "Bacterial small subunit ribosomal RNA", at positions 524 to 776 of the family's 1533-position model. The record is from RNAcentral.
UACGUAGGGGGCAAGCGUUGUCCGGAUUUAUUGGGCGUAAAGAGCUCGUAGGUGGUUUGGUAAGUCGGAUGUGAAAUCUCCAGGCUCAACCUGGAGGGGUCAUUCGAUACUGCCAUGACUAGAGGUCGGUAGGGGAGUGUGGAAUUCCUGGUGGAGCGGUGAAAUGCGCAGAUAUCAGGAGGAACACCUAUUGCGAAGGCAGCUCGCUGGGACGUAACUGACGCUGAGACGCGAAAGCGUGGGGAGCAAACAGG